AGCCUGAUGCAGCCAUGCCGCGUGUAUGAAGAAGGCCUUCGGGUUGUAAAGUACUUUCAGCAGUGAGGAAGGUGGUGCAUUUAAUACGUGCAUCAUUUGACGUUAGCUGCAGAAGAAGCACCGGCUAACUCCGUGCCAGCAGCCGCGGUAAUACGGAGGGUGCGAGCGUUAAUCGGAAUUACUGGGCGUAAAGCGCAUGCAGGUGGUGUGUUAAGUCAGAUGUGAAAGCCCGGGGCUCAACCUCGGAAUUGCAUUUGAAACUGACAGACUAGAGUACUGUAGAGGGGGGUAGAAUUUCAGGUGUAGCGGUGAAAUGCGUAGAGAUCUGAAGGAAUACCGGUGGCGAAGGCGGCCCCCUGGACAGAUACUGACACUCAGAUGCGAAAGCGUGGGGAGCAAACAGGAUUAGAUACCCUGGUAGUCCACGCCGUAAACGAUGUCUACUUGAGGUU
This 452-nucleotide ribosomal RNA is filed under the name Vibrio sp. 5WU1 9. Its description in RNAcentral is "bacterial SSU rRNA". It matches the Rfam family "Bacterial small subunit ribosomal RNA", at positions 380 to 824 of the family's 1533-position model. Lineage: Bacteria; Pseudomonadati; Pseudomonadota; Gammaproteobacteria; Vibrionales; Vibrionaceae. The record is from RNAcentral.